Long non-coding RNA from Pezoporus flaviventris, 931 nucleotides. RefSeq lists it as uncharacterized. The record is from RefSeq and is a predicted model, not a curated record. The transcript is spliced from 2 exons. NCBI's taxonomy places the organism in Eukaryota, Metazoa, Chordata, Aves, Psittaciformes, Psittacidae.
AGCACUUUGCAGACCGGCGCGCUCUGGCGGGAGGGGAUUUCAGUGCCCAUCCGCCAGGCCCUGAGGCUUUGUACACCCUUUGCCUCGGGGAACAGUAACGGAGCCCAGCGGGCACAGGCUUUUGCUAGGAUGGGAAAGUUUGUCCCGACUAGAGCCGGGGGAGUUUCGGCGGUGGAGCGGUACCCCGGGAGGUACUGACCGAAGAUAGUGGGAAGCCAGAGUAAGGCAAAACAAAAUACCAUCCUUCCUUUUAUUCUUUAGCAUGCAUAAAAGCACAGACCACAUCAGACACUGGAGAGCUGCAUGGAGAUUUUACUUUGCAAAUGGAGCAGCAUGCUGGCAGCAUAAAGGAUGAAAGUCUUUGAAGAGCUCUUUUGAGGAUAGAAAUCAGCCCACGAUCUCCUUCAGGCUGCAUUCUUAUUCAUCGUUAUUUCCAAGGUUUUUUUUUCUCAAACACUCACCAAGAUAAAUUCCAAUCAUAAAGAGUCCCACUGAGCUGAGUAUGUAUUAUAUAGACAUGUAACACAGCUAUAGCUACUGCACUUUUUGUACCUCAGUAUAAUGCAAAAAUACAACAAAACAAAUGCCUUUACAUUGGAGGCUUAAUUUUAUCCAGGCAAAUGGAAAUAUGCCACAAAUCCAAUAACCUCAGCUAGCACCCUUAGCAAAACCUUAACUCUAGUGUCCAGUAAAUGUUCUCUGCAGACUUUAGAUGAGGUGAGCUUUUGGGGGCACUGCUACUUAUAUAAUGUCUUUCCCAUGAAUGAAAGAUGCACAUCUCUAGCUCUGCUAGGCCAGUACUUAAAAAAAUAAACCAGUAGCUCUUAUCAAUGUUUGGAGACAAAUUAUUUAUAACACCGCAUUAUCUAGAGUGAUGCCAUGUUUUACUUACCAUUGAGAAUGGUUUGUAAUAUAGUUUCAGAAAAUAAAA